UUUACAACUCUCGGCAACGGAUAUCUUGGCUCUCGCAUCGAUGAAGAACGCAGCGAAAUGUGAUAUGUGGUGUGAAUUGCAGAAUCCCGUGAACCAUUGAGUAUUUGAACGCAAGUUGCGCUCGAGGCAGUUUGCCGAGGGCGUGCCUCCCUGGGCGUCUUUC
This 163-nucleotide ribosomal RNA is filed under the name Pogonia minor. Its description in RNAcentral is "5.8S ribosomal RNA". It matches the Rfam family "5.8S ribosomal RNA". Rfam says of the family: 5.8S ribosomal RNA (5.8S rRNA) is a component of the large subunit of the eukaryotic ribosome. It is transcribed by RNA polymerase I as part of the 45S precursor that also contains 18S and 28S rRNA. Lineage: Eukaryota; Viridiplantae; Streptophyta; Magnoliopsida; Asparagales; Orchidaceae. The record is from RNAcentral.